Molecule: long non-coding RNA, 549 nt
Filed under: Oryza brachyantha (malo sina)
Lineage: Eukaryota; Viridiplantae; Streptophyta; Magnoliopsida; Poales; Poaceae
Description: long non-coding RNA (OBRA_LNC003124)
Source: RNAcentral
CCACCAGUAACGAGAAAUGCUAUAGACAAAACAGAAAAUUUCAGAGAAAUUUUGGCAGCAUGUUUAACUGAAUAACAAUACACAGUACAUCAUUUAUUUUCAGGGAAAGAUGGAGCCGUGCACGGAAGCAGCCGGGCUGCCGCCACGUUCGGACACGACAGCAGCGCGUUCACGUGCGCGCGGCCGGCACUGCAGCCAGGCAGGGUGGCCGCUAGACCUGUUCGCCGGCAGCCGCGGUGAGGAGGAGGCCCGUGCAUGGAUCCCUGACCGGGGCUGUGCGUCGGCGAUGGGCCUCCACCUCCCCCCUCCGCUCCUGAAGCUCCUCCACAAAGAACCCUAGCACCGAUGUAAACCCUAGCACUGGGGAGAGAAAAGAAGAAGACAGUGGAGAAGUUACCAUCGAGAAGGCAGCACAGAGCACGGACGUCGGAUAGGAAGAGGCCGCUGUCGACGUUGGUGCACCGCCGUGCCGUCUCCUCGUGUCGCCAACCGCACACCGGCGCCUUGCGUCCGGAUUGGAGCCGUAGGGUUGGAGGUGGGGAUUUGAUC